This 407-nucleotide unclassified non-coding RNA is filed under the name Hevea brasiliensis (rubber tree). The record is from RNAcentral. Lineage: Eukaryota; Viridiplantae; Streptophyta; Magnoliopsida; Malpighiales; Euphorbiaceae.
AGGAGAAUUGAGGCAUCAAGAGAAAUUGCCGCUACUCUGGCAAAGUCACCCAAUGUAGCAUACCUUCCUGGUGGAAACAACAUGCUUAUGGCAUUGAGUGCAAAUCGUUGAAUAGAGCAUUUGGGUUUGGCAAAACGGCGUCAACAAGAUUGUGAAUUGCUGAAGUAGCAUUUUCUUUGUUGCUAGAAUUUUUUUCGAGUUUACAGACCCUACAUAUGUGGACCUUCCUAAGAAUCUGAAAGUUAGUUUAGCAUUUGGUAAGUUCUUGAAAUUUAUGUUGAAGAACAAACAGAAGAUUUUGUUUAGCCUAAAACUAUGUUCUACCGUUGUAUAACUCUGGAAGAUGCAGUAUUUGAAUUGUGAAUGCUAUGAACAUGUGAUUCAUUUGUGUGCAAUAAUUGAUCUGC